UGGGAGCCGUGGCACUGUCAAGUCAUCAGACGCGGUGAUUGCGAGGCCUGUGGGAAAGUACAAAAGCCUGGGCUAGAUUACCCCUCUCAUCGAGCCCGCCUGUGUGGCACCUGUUUCUUAUCACCCCACUAAGUUCCCGCCUCACAGGGUAGUCUGCCUAGCUAUUAAUCCUAUAUAUAGCCAGUGCCUCCACCCCCGAGAGAGAGAGAGAGAGACUGAAGCACAAAAGGAGCCGCGGGGAGCGGACCGGUAGAGGCUUCGGGGCAGACUGAAGCACGGAAGGAGCCGCGGAGAGCGGACCGGUAGAGGCUUUGGGGCAGACUGUAUAAGGAGAGAAUAAAGAAAAGCCUGACCACCGCUAGACCUUGUCGUGUGUCUUUCCUGCCGGCCGGGAGCGGACAUCGACAUUUGGAGGCCCGCCCGGGGAUUGAUCAACCCCGAGACGCGGCGGUGGACUGCAUUCUCCUACACAGUGCUGCAGCUGCAGGACAGGAAUCGGGACGAGAACCAAUGUGGGUCCCAGAGAGGUUGACGUGACAAGUCCCUCGACUGAAGAUCAGGCCUGUUCCACCAGAGGCCAACCGCAGACCCAACAACAAGAUGAGCCCUAAAAGAACUGCAGGACAAUCCCUUUUUGGGGGCCUGGAACGGCUUGCUCCCCUAUGUGCUACCCUUGUAUACGCAUGGCUCGCUCGCAUGGCCUACGACCGCGUUUAAAAGUGACAGGCUUCCCACAUUCUCCUCCCUAGACAACAACAUGUAGCAGGGUGGGUGAGUCAAUGACGGGUAAGAGCGUGCCUCCCCAGCACGACUCAACCUAAGCCAGGCCCUACCCCGUUCCGCUCGAAAGCCGCUGGAUUGUUAGAUAAAUUUCUCUCCGAGGGGAUUCGUGGAGAGAAAUGAGUGCAUGCCUAUGUGCAACCAGGUUCCGUCCGGUUCAUUCCUGGCCCUAGAAAAAAGGACGAGGGCCUCAGGGCCUUGGUGGACCCUGGGACGGCCGACCAGGGUCAACGCUAAGGGCCUAAGGUGGGCCUCAGUUCGGGGCAUAGGCCUCUGCACUCUAUCCAGGACGGGCUGCGAUGCGCGUAGCCAUCAUUUAAAAUAAAAUAGGGGGAGAUGUUGGGAGCCGUGGCACUGUCAAGUCAUCAGACGCGGUGAUUGCGAGGCCUGUGGGAAAGUACAAAAGCCUGGGCUAGAUUACCCCUCUCAUCGAGCCCGCCUGUGUGGCACCUGUUUCUUAUCACCCCACUAAGUUCCCGCCUCACAGGGUAGUCUGCCUAGCUAUUAAUCCUAUAUAUAGCCAGUGCCUCCACCCCCGAGAGAGAGAGAGAG
Long non-coding RNA from Cavia porcellus (domestic guinea pig), 1332 nucleotides. RefSeq lists it as uncharacterized. The record is from RefSeq and is a predicted model, not a curated record. NCBI's taxonomy places the organism in Eukaryota, Metazoa, Chordata, Mammalia, Rodentia, Caviidae. The transcript is spliced from 2 exons.